This 406-nucleotide ribosomal RNA is filed under the name Marinobacter sp. enrichment culture clone I. RNAcentral describes it as "bacterial SSU rRNA". It matches the Rfam family "Bacterial small subunit ribosomal RNA", at positions 957 to 1361 of the family's 1533-position model. Lineage: Bacteria; Pseudomonadati; Pseudomonadota; Gammaproteobacteria; Pseudomonadales; Marinobacteraceae. The record is from RNAcentral.
UAACGCGAAGAACCUUACCAGGACUUGACAUCCCUGUGACCGGUCCAUAAUGGGACCUUUCCCUUCGGGGACAGAGGAGACAGGUGGUGCAUGGUUGUCGUCAGCUCGUGUCGUGAGAUGUUGGGUUAAGUCCCGUAACGAGCGCAACCCCUAUCCCUAGUUGCUAGCAGUUCGGCUGAGAACUCUAGGGAGACUGCCGGUGACAAACCGGAGGAAGGUGGGGAUGACGUCAGGUCAUCAUGGCCCUUACGGCCAGGGCUACACACGUGCUACAAUGGCGCGCACAGAGGGCUGCAAACUCGCGAGGGUAAGCCAAUCUCUUAAAACGCGUCGUAGUCCGGAUCGCAGUCUGCAACUCGACUGCGUGAAGUCGGAAUCGCUAGUAAUCGCGAAUCAGAAUGUCGCG